Molecule: ribosomal RNA, 495 nt
Filed under: uncultured bacterium
Lineage: Bacteria
Description: partial 16S ribosomal RNA
Rfam family: Bacterial small subunit ribosomal RNA
Source: RNAcentral
GACGAACGCUGGCGGCGUGCCUAAUACAUGCAAGUAGAACGCUGAAGGAGGAGCUUGCUUCUCUGGAUGAGUUGCGAACGGGUGAGUAACGCGUAGGUAACCUGCCUGGUAGCGGGGGAUAACUAUUGGAAACGAUAGCUAAUACCGCAUAAGAGUAGAUGUUGCAUGACAUUUACUUAAAAGGUGCAAUUGCAUCACUACCAGAUGGACCUGCGUUGUAUUAGCUAGUUGGUGAGGUAACGGCUCACCAAGGCAACGAUACAUAGCCGAGCUGAGAGGGUAAUCGGAGACACUGGGACUGAGACACGGGCCAGACUCCUCCAGGGGGCAGCAGAAGGGGAUAUUCGGCAAUGGGCGGAAGUCUGACCGAGCGACGCCGCGUGAGUGAGGAAGGUUUUCGGAUCGUGAAGCUCUGUUGUAAGAGGAGAACGAGUGUGAGAGUGGAAAGUUCACACUGUGGCGGUAUCUUACCAGAAAGGGACGGCUAACUACGUG